UAGAACCAGGCACAAAGCAGCAUAGAUUUUUUUUAUUCUUAUCUUUUUCAUAUGAGGGGAAUAUUCCUGGUGUUAGCGUAGGAACAGACACAGCAUGGAUGUGUUGGCUUCUGCCUGGCAGCAUUUUCAGCUGAGCAGGGACUGCUCGGAGCUCUGUACCCAAAUUGCCUCUGAGGAAGAACGCCUGAUUUCCCACUUUGCGUACAAAGAGGGUUUUUUCCUUUAUGCUACGGUGAUGUACCUGCAGCAAUAGGACAAAGGAGAUGGCGCUUGUCACUGCGUGUCCGACCGGGGCCUUUUGCAGGUAUUCCAUGGCCGAAGCUGUGCCAGCAUCCCAGGGUCAGAUAGACUGGUAAUACAGAUUGCCGCAAUUUCUUACAUCAGUUAGGGCAAAGCUCAAACAAGAAACCAGACCCUCUGACCUAAAUCAGUCCCAGUCCUUCUGGAUACAGGGCAGCAGUCGACUAGCAAUGACACAACCAGCCAUCAAGUGGAGAGUCUCUGGGAUUGCAAUCUGUAUCAGCUGGAGUCUGAGAGAACGAAACCCUUUCGGGUAUCCAGUUGCUUCUUCUUCUAAUACUACAAAUACUACAACUACAAUUACUACUACUGCUACUUCUGUUUUUCUUGCCUGUAAGAAGCUGUUAAUUGCGGUCGGUGUCUGGUUGUACAUUUGUGUGGAUUAGUCUGUCUAUAACGCAGCCCUUAUCUGCUCCUGCUGGAAACCGGGGCAUGAAGUCAGCCUGCUUUAACAGUUGUUUCUUUCUGCGUGAUGCUAUGCAACUAGAAUGGGUUACACUGACAACAAAGGAACAAGCACAAAGCACCACUUUCUUUGCUGGACUGUUACAGGAACAUAGCUCUUCUUCGAUAUGACACCCUGGUCUCUUCUCUUUGCUGGCUUUUUUUUUUUUUUUUUUUUUAAAUUUAAUUCAUCUAAUCGAAGAGCCUAACAGACACUAUCGUGAAUGUGGCUUUUAAUCAUUUGGAAAAGACAGCAUGUGGAGACUGCAAAUCAAGACAGCAACACAUUUAGGCUAUUGCCAAUUUUAAAUACUUGGUUUGUGAAGCACAGCCCUAAGGGACAAGCUCAGUAACUGAGGGAAAGAUUGUAGAUAAAGAAAUAAAAAUGACAAGCGUAAUGGAGGCUCUGCAAAAGAGACUGUCAGAGAAUCAGUUCAUGGAUGGCAAUUUCACCAGUCUGAAUCUGAAUAAUUCAUAGAUUGAAAUUACCCUGCUUUCACCUUUCCAUUUAAACCAGCAUGAUCUGAAUCUCUAAUAAAUUUUCAAGAUAAAGUAAAAUGCCAAUUUGAAUCUGAAGAGCUUUUAAAACCAGAUGCUACACCCUGAAUCUUUCGAUACCUUUCACAAUUAUCCUGUGAGAACCGCACUUCAUCACGAAGCACCAUUACCAGUGAAAAUUACUGUGAUUACAAUAGCAACAAUAGAAUACCAUCAAAUGAUCUCUAAUCUACCUAAUUUACCAAGGCUGACUGUGUGCCCAUUGUGUUUCACUACGUCUGGCAUUGGAUCAAUAUCACAGUGGAACAAAAAAUGUCUUAGUGUGUGCUUCCUUUUGGUACCUUUAACUUUGACAGCACAGGAAAAGAAAAAAAAAAUCUACCUGCUGUUAAAUGUUUUUACAGCCAAUCUACAUGCCUGCUGUAGGAUCUGAUUGAUUCGCUGUGAUUUUCUUUAGUUCUUUGGUAUCAGAUGUCUUUGUGUUACUAAUUAGUUUAUAAUGUAUACUGAUGCACAAAGACUGCAGCAAGUGAGUGCCAGCACAGGGACCCUGCACUGCUGCUGCAGUUGCAGCGCUCUCACUGGGGAAGCCAAAAUGAGUUCAGUUCCUUAUGUGAAUAAUUACUCCUGAGUUAGAAAUGCUUUGUAGCAUCACCAGUCUUGGUCGUACUACAUGAAAAAUGUAUGCAAAACCCAUGGUCAAGAAAAACGAUGGCGUGUAAUACUAACAAGAUUUUCCCCUUAUUCAGCAAUUAGCAUGCAGUUGUGAGAGACACGCUGUGACUCCUUCUGUGUGUCUGUCUGCGUGUGUGCGUAGGUACGCAUGCACAUACAUAAAUGUAAAGCUACUGUGCUCUGUGAAUGAAUAUGUGCUGAUCUCUGAAAGUAACAACUUUCUCUGACAAGCCGGCGCUGUGUUUUGCCGCAAUCUGCUCAGUUGUAACACAUCCCUCUUUUGGAGGUGUAAAUUUCCUAUAGAAUGAUAGGUGACUUCUGGAACAGUAAGUACCAUUUAUGCGAUAUGUUGGUGCCUAUAGCUAUGCUGCAGAAUAGCAUUUUAAGUGUAGUUUGAGUCCUUGUAGCAUAACUAGAAUGUGAAAAAAUGAUAAACAUGUACAGAAGGCUAGAAACAGGCAUUCCUCAUGGAGGCGAUUGUAUGUGCUGUUUGUAUGUGUGUGAGUUGUACAUUUCAGCCUUGUUCUUCAUUUUAUAAUCAGAUUUACUCUGCCUUCAGGGAAUAUUUUCUAAGGGAGGAAGGUAAGCAGUUUUCUUCUUAUUUCUAUGGCUGUGUUGUAUUUCGGUUGAGGGAAAUGCAUGUUUACAGCACAUAGUUAUAUAAUAGAGCAUGAUCUCAUGACAUCUAAUUAAAUGUUUUAGUAUUUGUUCACAUUAAAACUGGGCAAGAAAACAUACCUAAAAUAUGGAUUUUUAUUGAAAAUACACUUCUAGAAAUGUUAUGCAAAAACAAUUUACAGAUUUUGUUCGCAUUCAUAUCCUGCUCAUUGCUUUUGUUAAAUAAGUGCCUAUUCUACCUAAAUACUAAUGGUCUUGAAACCUUUGGUUUUUAUAUAUUUUUUCAUUUCCAAACACAAUUUAGUCUGUAUAUUAGUGGAGAGUGUUCUCUAGAGGUAGAAGAGGCAAAAGGUUUUACAGCUUGAACUGUGAUAAAAAAGGAACUUGAAAGGGCACAAAAUAUGAUUAUACAAAAGUCUCAAAUUUUAAAUGAUUCAGUAAUGUCAUUUUCCAAAAUGCUGUUCUUAGACAACAUACUCUCAAGUUACUAUCUGGAAAUAAUUAGCCUAUUUAGUGCUAUAUUUAUAUUCUUUGUUUUCAUGUAGUAUUAAAAACUUAAAAAGCUGAGAGCAAAUACUGAAACUCUGGUAAAAGUGUAACACAUUAUAUUACUGUGGUAAUAAAAGACAUUUAGACAUUUAGAACUUUGCUGAAGAGAAGUAGUCACUGUGGUUUAACUACUUUAUAAAGAGCAUUUUAUGGUUUUAUGUACAGAAAUAUAACAUAUACUGAUAUAACUACUAUAGUGCAAAGACCAUGCAAACAGAAAUGUGGAUGUUUUGCAAAAUACCAUACAAGUACCUGGCAGCAUUUACAGUAUUACUAUUACUGCCACACUCCUCCAGUAUCAUAUGCUGCACUGAAAUCAUGGUCUGUUAACCAACUGGAUUCCACAAAGAAUUUACAAUGAUAAUUUUUUAUCAGUCUUAUAGAAAGCAGCUGGCCAAGGGGUGCAAGGUGCCCUCACUAAGUGCAGAGCAGAGCUAAGGGAGAGUUCACAAGCUGUUGGUGGCUUCACAUAAGGGCCCAAUCCAAAUCCUUCUGUGGAACCGUGCUGGAGUUCUCUGUCUUUAUGUUUCUGUUACUGAACUUUAAACAUGCCACUGGCUUUCUCCCACUGCUCCCUACUGGCCUCACAUUCCUAAACAUGCAGUGCUGGUCAGGCCUAAUGCUGUUUGCCAGUGUGAGCCCCUGCAGGAGAUGCCAGAUGCUGUUAGGACAGCACACUCAGGAGGCAAGAGUAGCCGUGAGACUCUGCUAAAAGUACUCUGGAAAAGUUUGAAAACCUUGUGAAAUGAACUCCACCUUUUGGGGUGAUGUGUGUUUCAAAGGCAGCAGGAUUGCAGUCUGUCAACAAGCUACGCUGCACAUGCAAAUGGGGAAAAAAAGCCUUUAAACCUUUUCAGACACAGGAUUGUGAAGAGAAUAUUAGCAAUAUUACUUCACAGAAAGUAUUAAAAUGCAGUCAAGUCACAUCAUCCAUGUAUUUUCUGAUACGGCUAUGGCCAAUCAGUAGCUACAGCUGAAGUGUUCAGGAUUUAUAAUUGUAUGUGUCAAAACAAAUGGCAGACUGCAACAUGAAAUUUCUAACAUAAGGCCACUAAUUUCAGCAAUAGGGAUUCAACAGUUAACAUAUAUCAUAUCAAAAAUAUAUUAGUCUGGGUUUUAUGCCUGUUUUUCACUGUUUUACACUUGGCUGUAACUAACUCAAUCUGCAAUGUUAAAGGAAGGAAAAAACCCUCUUAAACAUGAGUUUCCAACUAAACACAGAUAUCCACUUCAGUAAAAUUACUCCCAUGCAUUUGGUGGACCCUUCUCUGCAGCUAGGCAACAACCAUGAUGAAACCACACACAUGAAAAACGUAUUGAAGCCCAUUCUAUUACCACAGAAUUUAACAACCAGUCUCCCUGUACCAUCAACAUAAAAGAUAGAUCCAUUAAUUUCCUUCUAUUACAUCCUUUUUGUGAAAGUUGCUCCUAUUUUGUUAGGGUUUUUUUCUCCUUGAUUAUACAAGUUGUGUACAGUUGACACAAUGCUCAAUAGAAGAUCCUUUCUCUUCACCAGGACACAAGACCUGAGCUAAACAUGCUCUGAAAUCAACAUAUCAGGAUAUGUUUAUUCGACAACUGAAGGGACCUUCUCAUCUGUACUUCUGUUGAUAAUAUUUGUGCUCACUUGCUUGUCAAUUCUGCAUUAUCAUCUGCUAUAAAACACACAAGGUCUGAUCUGUAAUGGUUGUAUCUAUUUGGACAAGAGCCCUUAGGGUAGGAGGGUCUGUUGUGGGUUUCAUUGCGUUUUGUUUUUUUUCACUGUACUGUUGCUUUGAAUUAAUUGCAACUGCCUAUGGAAAUAUGAUCCCUUAAGAAUGUAGAGAAAUACAUUAUUAAUGAUUGUGAUGAAGAAUUGCUAGAUUCCCCUGCACUCUGGCUGCUAUGAAUUUCACACCAUUAUUCCCAAAGAAAAACAUUAGGAAGAAAGUAAAGCAAAUGUAACUUGAAAUUAAAACAGCAGCAUUUCCAAACCAAUCAUUUUGACAGGAAAUUCAGAGUUAAAGAGAAGAAAAUCCAAGCGGUUCACUGACACAAUUAAAAUACCUGAGCACCUCCCUUUCUCUUUGAUGCCACAACUCCAGGAUGUGAUAGAAGUAAAGAAUUUUGCCAUGUCACUUUAUAUUAUAUAGAUAGGAUCAAAAACCACCUUUGGCUUUAAAAGUAUUUGCACUGCAUUUCACAGUAUCGGUUCAGUUUCUUUAUGGACUAUAAAUUUUCACCUGCUCUGUGCUUUUAGCUGUGUAACAUAACCAGAAGUUCUGAAAAUCAAACUAUUUCUGACCCACCAAAAGAGGGAAAUGAAAUCCUAAGUGGGAAUUACAGAAGAGGCAAUGGGUUUCCCAGGUCUCAUGCCAACAGAGAUACUUCCUGUGAGUUUUUCAGGUCAGGUUAAACUUCUUAUUAUGUUACAACUUGUUCUUAAAAAAAACCCUAGUUAAAAAUGAGUGGGAAUUCAAAAUAUGGCCAAUGUUUUGCCCAAAAGCAUAAGUGUUUUUGUUUUUGUUUUUGUUUGUUUUUCUUUUCUAACUACAUUUGCCAUUAUUUCUGCUACAGGUCUUGCCUCAAAGUUUACCAAGAAAGAAUAUUUGCAAUGCUAUACUUCAUUUGUAGAUGGUCAUGCAUAGUGAAGCAUGCACAACAAAUUAGCAGUUGUGGUAAAUGCUAAAUUUGGAAACAUUGUUGAAAUGGAAAAAAAUUUUAAUGGAUAGAUUAUGGUGUUGCCACUGUACUGUUCACUUAUACUCAAUAUUUCACAGAGAUAGUGCAGAAAUUAAUGUACAGCUAACUUAUAUGUAGUUACAGGCAGUGAAAUGCUCAGUAGAAAAGCCUUAUGUUGUACUCACCUGUUUCUGUUUCUUCGGCCUAAGUUCAUUCAAACCCCACCUCCAGCAGCACAGCAGUCACAACAACCGCUACCCUUCUGACCUGCAGGGGAUUUCAUGAAAAUAAUUGCCUUCACAAAUGUUUUUAAGAACUUAUCAGGCCUGGGUUGGAGUGACUUCUAGACGUGAGGUUAGUUUUCAUCACUGCAGAUACAGCUACAACUACUUAUUUGAAGUUUUCUUGCGUCCUGAACUGCCAGAGCCUUUCAGGGUACAUUCCAGGGGUGUUUGAGAAAUGUCCAUGUUUCCUGGGAUGGGUUACACGGGUACAUGGCAGCACAGCAGCCACUGCAGACACGCAGGAAGAAAACAGUCCAGUGAAACCCAGUGCCGCAGCACAACUUUUCCUGACCUUCCUGGCUCUGACCUCUGUGUGUACAGUGCAGCCCUCACACAAUUACAGGUAAAGCAGUUUUUUUGUAUUAAAGGAAUCCAUUAGAGAUGGAUUUGAACUUUUGUUUAGCCUCCUGCUACCAGUGUGCACUGUGAUUGCCAGGCACAGAAAACAUAGCUCAUUUGUCUCCAUUUUCUUCCUUCACAAGCCAGAAAGUUCACAUGAUAUGCUAGUAGUAGUUCAGAAGUGGUCAAAUUAGUGAAUAAAUAAGCUUUUAAUGUAAUGAAUAAGCUGUCAUGC
Molecule: long non-coding RNA, 6603 nt
Organism: Hirundo rustica (Barn swallow)
Lineage: Eukaryota; Metazoa; Chordata; Aves; Passeriformes; Hirundinidae
Exons: 5
Source: RefSeq, a predicted model, not a curated record